RNAcentral lists this transfer RNA (59 nucleotides) under Dibothriocephalus nihonkaiensis. RNAcentral describes it as "tRNA-Ser". Lineage: Eukaryota; Metazoa; Platyhelminthes; Cestoda; Diphyllobothriidea; Diphyllobothriidae. The record is from RNAcentral.
GAAAGAAAUAGUUAAGUUACUGCUAAUAACUUACUGUCAAUUUAAUUUGACUUCUUUCU